CGGAGUAUAGCUCAGCCUGGUAGAGCACCGUCUUCGGGAGGCGGGGGCCGGAGGUUCGAAUCCUCCUACUCCGACCA
This 77-nucleotide transfer RNA is filed under the name Hirschia sp. RNAcentral's name for it is "tRNA-Pro". It matches the Rfam family "tRNA". From Rfam's summary of the family: Transfer RNA (tRNA) molecules are approximately 80 nucleotides in length. Their secondary structure includes four short double-helical elements and three loops (D, anti-codon, and T loops). Further hydrogen bonds mediate the characteristic L-shaped molecular structure. tRNAs have two regions of fundamental functional importance: the anti-codon, which is responsible for specific mRNA codon recognition, and the 3' end, to which the tRNAs corresponding amino acid is attached (by aminoacyl-tRNA synthetases). tRNAs cope with the degeneracy of the genetic code in two manners: having more than one tRNA (with a specific anti-codon) for a particular amino acid; and 'wobble' base-pairing, i.e. permitting non-standard base-pairing at the 3rd anti-codon position. The record is from RNAcentral. Lineage: Bacteria; Pseudomonadati; Pseudomonadota; Alphaproteobacteria; Hyphomonadales; Hyphomonadaceae.